AAAGAAUCCUGGGAACUGUAGUUCAUUAAGGGUGCUUAGCUUUAAUGCCCUUAACAAACUACAGCUCCCAGGAUUUUU
This 78-nucleotide microRNA precursor is filed under the name Podarcis lilfordi (Lilford's wall lizard). The record is from RNAcentral. Lineage: Eukaryota; Metazoa; Chordata; Lepidosauria; Squamata; Lacertidae.